This 429-nucleotide ribosomal RNA is filed under the name Bacillota bacterium. RNAcentral describes it as "Firmicutes bacterium partial 16S ribosomal RNA". It matches the Rfam family "Bacterial small subunit ribosomal RNA", at positions 355 to 776 of the family's 1533-position model. Lineage: Bacteria; Bacillati; Bacillota. The record is from RNAcentral.
UAGGGAAUCUUCGGCAAUGGACGGAAGUCUGACCGAGCAACGCCGCGUGAGUGAAGAAGGUUUUCGGAUCGUAAAGCUCUGUUGUUAGAGAAGAACGUUGGUAGGAGUGGAAAAUCUACCAAGUGACGGUAACUAACCAGAAAGGGACGGCUAACUACGUGCCAGCAGCCGCGGUAAUACGUAGGUCCCGAGCGUUGUCCGGAGUUAUUGGGCGUAAAGCGAGCGCAGGCGGUUCUUUAAGUCUGAAGUUAAAGGCAGUGGCUUAACCAUUGUACGCUUUGGAAACUGGAGAACUUGAGUGCAGAAGGGGAGAGUGGAAUUCCAUGUGUAGCGGUGAAAUGCGUAGAUAUAUGGAGGAACACCGGUGGCGAAAGCGGCUCUCUGGUCUGUAACUGACGCUGAGGCUCGAAAGCGUGGGGAGCAAACAGG